GUAAUCGCGGAUCAGAAUGCCGCGGUGAAUACGUUCCCGGGUCUUGUACACACCGCCCGUCACACCAUGGGAGUCGAUAACGCCCGAAGUCAGUGACCCAACCUGUAAGGAGGGAGCUGCCGAAGGCGGGAUUGAUAACUGGGGUGAAGUCGUAACAAGGUAGC
This 164-nucleotide ribosomal RNA is filed under the name uncultured bacterium. RNAcentral describes it as "partial 16S ribosomal RNA". It matches the Rfam family "Bacterial small subunit ribosomal RNA", at positions 1338 to 1500 of the family's 1533-position model. The record is from RNAcentral.